RNAcentral lists this ribosomal RNA (253 nucleotides) under uncultured bacterium. RNAcentral's name for it is "partial 16S ribosomal RNA". It matches the Rfam family "Bacterial small subunit ribosomal RNA", at positions 524 to 776 of the family's 1533-position model. The record is from RNAcentral.
UACGUAGGGCGCAAGCGUUGUCCGGAAUUAUUGGGCGUAAAGAGCUCGUAGGCGGUUUGUCGCGUCUGUCGUGAAAGCUUGGGGCUUAACCCCAAGUCUGCGGUGGAUACGGGCAGACUAGAGGCAGGUAGGGGAGAACGGAAUUCCCGGUGUAGCGGUGAAAUGCGCAGAUAUCGGGAGGAACACCGGUGGCGAAGGCGGUUCUCUGGGCCAACACUGACGCUCAGGCACGAAAGCGUGGGGAGCAAACAGG